Long non-coding RNA from Helianthus annuus (common sunflower), 272 nucleotides. RefSeq lists it as uncharacterized. The record is from RefSeq and is a predicted model, not a curated record. NCBI's taxonomy places the organism in Eukaryota, Viridiplantae, Streptophyta, Magnoliopsida, Asterales, Asteraceae. The transcript has 3 exons.
AAUUCACAAGAUUAAGAAGGAAUUAAGAGCCCAAGCUAAUGCAUGAACUCAAAUCUUUAACCCUCUAAGCUUGUUCAACAAAUGGUGUAAAGGAGGAAGGUUCGAGUCACGCGAAGCAACAAGGAAAUCAAGAACGAGGUAAAUCUCAAGUUUAGCUUUCAAGCUUCGCCCGGUUUGAACACACUUCAAGACCCGCCUUAUGUUCCGCUACUUUUGUAAAGAAGACAACGCUUAAUAUUUUGGUCACUAUGUCUAUAUCUAGUAGUUAAAAA